UUUUAAGUUUUCUAGUAGCCACAUAAUAUUACAUAUUUGGUCCACAUUAUAUUUCUAUUAAAUAUUACAUAUGUGGUCCACAUUAUAUUUCUCCCUUAUUUGGGAGAACAGUGAAGGAGUUUAUGUAGGACAGAGACAUGAUCCAAUUUUCAUUUCAGAGAGAACGUUCUGGUAGGAAAGAGGAUAGAUUGGUGCGAUCUAAGGCUAGAGAAAGGAACGCUAGUUGGGAAAUGAUUGUAAUAGUUUAGGCAUAAGAUAAUGAGGGCCUGCCUUAAAACAGGAGCUUUAGGAAUGGGAUAAUUAGAGAAAGAUAAGGACAAUUAGAGCAUGCAUCAGAUUCCCUGGAGGGCUUAAGAUGCAGAUUCCCUGGCCUCACCCCCAGAGAGUCUGAUUUAGGAGAAAUCGGGUGGGGUCCUAAACAUUUUCAUUACUAACUAGUUUCCAGACACUGCCGCUGCUGGUGGUAGUUUGGAUACCUCACCCUGAAAACCUUUCCUUAUAAUACUUGGUGACAAAUCGGAUAUAUCAAGAGAGGGAGAAGUCUAUGAAGACUUCCAGGUUCCUGCUCUGACUAUCUGAGUAGACAGGGACUAAAAAGAGGAGAAGCUUAUUUGGGAAAGAGUAGGAUAGGUUUAGUUUGGGAUAUAUUGAGUUUGAGGUCCCUUUGGAACUCCUAGGAGGCGAUCUCUCAAGAGUAAUUGUAUAUCUAUGGAUCUGGAACUCAGGAAACAGAUCACACUAUAAUUAAAGAUUUGAAAGUCAUCAGAAUUUAGUUGGCCCUAAGCAUGAGAGAGAUUGCCCAGAGAAUCAGUGCAGUAUGAGAAGGAAACAAACCCCAGGACAGAUUCCUGUAGUGAAGCUCUGUUUUGAUCAAAAUCAUUAGUGUUCAAGAAAAAGAAGAUAGGCAUGAAUUUCCACUUGUCGUUUUUACCCAUCUGCCUCUUGUGUUUGAUCACAGUGACCAAGGUUUAGGUAACAGUUUCAUAGGGCUUCAAGAUCCUUCAGAAGAUUUGAAUCAAUGGUUAGCUGUUUCAUCAAUGAUACAGAAGAAGUUCAACAAAGCCUUUAUUUCUAAAUUUGAUUAUGAAUAAAAUAGGCUUGACCAAAUAGCAGAAACCCCAGAGCUUCAAUUUCUUCAUCUAUAAAAUUGGAACACUGAUACCUUUCUCACAGACUUGCUGGAAAAUGGUGAUAAUGUAUGUGGAGCAUGGUGCCUGAUCUACCCAGAAUAGCAUCUCAAUAAAGGAUUUGUAUGAAGGAAAAAGUUAUACCUCAAGGACUCAACAUGCAAGAGGCCCAGGAGGGGAAUUUCAUUUCGCACGUCCAUUUUUUUCUCAGAGCAAUUUCCCAUCUUUACUACCAGAUGGCGCCCGUGAGCAGUGCCGCCCUUCCCUAUGGCUUUUAUUUCCACUCUUCGGGCGCUAGGUAAUCUUCCUCUCUCUUAGUACUCAGGCUGGCAUUUAAAAUCCAGUGUUGCACACAGACUUUGUGUUUCUAAUCCAUCUGCUCCAUGAAGAACUGUGAAACCCAGAAAUACCUAUUUCUAGCCAGACACCCAUUUCUCCAAUAGGAUUUUUCAGAUGAUAAGGCUUUGUGAUAUAACUAUGCAGCUGGGCAUUCAAAAGAAGUCAAACAACCCUUAAUUAAGAAUCUGGUUUUUUGUACAUUUACCCCCACUAUAAGAGUGUAGAGACUUAAAGGUCAG
This 1705-nucleotide long non-coding RNA is filed under the name Homo sapiens (human). RNAcentral's name for it is "HSALNT0242770". Lineage: Eukaryota; Metazoa; Chordata; Mammalia; Primates; Hominidae. The record is from RNAcentral.